Molecule: long non-coding RNA, 171 nt
Organism: Chiroxiphia lanceolata (lance-tailed manakin)
Lineage: Eukaryota; Metazoa; Chordata; Aves; Passeriformes; Pipridae
Exons: 4
Source: RefSeq, a predicted model, not a curated record
GUUGGGGAGAUGUGGCUGCAUCCGUGGCUGUCUGAGGACUGGUGGUGACACCCGAGCCCUGUCCCCUCCAGCGGCAUGAGGAGAUGAUCAUCCCUGGAAGAACCCCCUGAUUUCCCUCAGAGCCCAGGGCCAUUUCCCCUGAAUGAUCAAUAAAUCCCUUCAGCAAAGCUA